AAAUUGAAGAGUUUGAUCAUGGCUCAGAUUGAACGCUGGCGGCAGGCCUAACACAUGCAAGUCGAACGGUAACAGGAAACAGCUUGCUGUUUCGCUGACGAGUGGCGGACGGGUGAGUAAUGUCUGGGAAACUGCCUGAUGGAGGGGGAUAACUACUGGAAACGGUAGCUAAUACCGCAUAACGUCGCAAGACCAAAGAGGGGGACCCUCGGGCCUCUUGCCAUCGGAUGUGCCCAGAUGGGA
This 243-nucleotide ribosomal RNA is filed under the name Escherichia coli. RNAcentral describes it as "partial 16S ribosomal RNA". It matches the Rfam family "Bacterial small subunit ribosomal RNA", at positions 1 to 240 of the family's 1533-position model. The record is from RNAcentral. Lineage: Bacteria; Pseudomonadati; Pseudomonadota; Gammaproteobacteria; Enterobacterales; Enterobacteriaceae.